This 511-nucleotide long non-coding RNA is filed under the name Ictidomys tridecemlineatus (thirteen-lined ground squirrel). RNAcentral describes it as "lncRNA (ENSSTOG00000030469.1)". The record is from RNAcentral. Lineage: Eukaryota; Metazoa; Chordata; Mammalia; Rodentia; Sciuridae.
CAAUUUUGGUAAACUGUGUUUCCUAAUAUAUUAUUCAUUUUAUCUGCAGGUAGAGAAAUAAAGCUAACAUCAGCAAAACAAAAAUAUAUUAGCUUGUAUGAACUUCUUCAUAAUUCAUUGCCUAAUAAUGGCUUCGAAGUCAACAGAGCAUCUAAAAAUGGAUGCCAAAGUUCUUAGAAAGAGAAGAAAAUACAGUGUUUCAAUCGGUAUUGCAGCAAGAUGGAGAAGACCAUAUGCCAAUUGGACAGAACUUGUCUGUGACAUAGUACAUUUCUGAGCUUUAGCUAUUUUUUGAGAUUAUGGGAUAGCCUUGUUUUCUAUGUUGUUAAAAUACAGUUCUUAAUUUUUUAAAAUGUCCCUGCCUUUACUGAUUUUUAGACAGUAAAUUGUAAUAGUUACACACUUCAUAAAUAAAAAGAUCGAUUAUUACUGUUAUUAUUAUCAUUAUUAUUUUGGCAGUACUGGGGGAUGGAACCCUGUACAUUCUAAGAAGCACUCUACCACUGAGUUG